AGAGGGUGAAACUCCCGUCCGCCUCGGUAGAAUAGAGUCUUUGUUCAACGAGUCGAGUUGUUUGGGUAGUUGUCAGCUCUAGUUUGGUUGGUAAAUUACCAUCUAAAGUUAAAUAUUGGUGGGAGACCGAUAGCGUACAAGUACCGUGAGGGAAAGAUGCAAAGAACUUUGAAAAGAGAGUUAAAGAGUACCUGAAAUUGCUGAAACGGAAGCGAAGGAAACCAGUGUUUGUUGGUUCAUAUUUCCUUGGCCACUUGUGGUUUGGGCGCUGUGAACUUGCGUGGGUUUGGGUUGGUUUGGAUCCCUUUGGAAGAGCGCAGUCAGAGUUGAUGUCU
RNAcentral lists this ribosomal RNA (335 nucleotides) under Pseudo-nitzschia fraudulenta. Its description in RNAcentral is "LSU rRNA". It matches the Rfam family "Eukaryotic large subunit ribosomal RNA", at positions 207 to 546 of the family's 3401-position model. The record is from RNAcentral. Lineage: Eukaryota; Bacillariophyta; Bacillariophyceae; Bacillariales; Bacillariaceae.